This is a non-coding RNA of Gossypium hirsutum (cotton), 106 nucleotides long. The record is from Rfam. Lineage: Eukaryota; Viridiplantae; Streptophyta; Magnoliopsida; Malvales; Malvaceae.
AUUCCAUGAUGAGGGUACUUCUGGAAUAAUUCUUUGUACCUUCCCAUGCCUCAUACAAGGACUCGUCAUCCAUUUUUUGGAAAGUAGUGACCUCAUUCCUCAACAU